GUCCUCGUAGCUCAGUUGGAUAGAGCGACGGUUUCCUAAACCGUAGGUCGCCGGUUCGACUCCGGCCGAGGAUACCA
This 77-nucleotide transfer RNA is filed under the name bacterium. Its description in RNAcentral is "tRNA-Arg". It matches the Rfam family "tRNA". Rfam says of the family: Transfer RNA (tRNA) molecules are approximately 80 nucleotides in length. Their secondary structure includes four short double-helical elements and three loops (D, anti-codon, and T loops). The record is from RNAcentral.